GGCGUCUCUUCGUGGAGCGGGAGCUGCUGCUUCCGAGCGGGGAGCGGCGGGGAAUCGCCUCACUCGCGGCACGGUUCGCUGCCAAGGAGGCGCUG
This 95-nucleotide transfer RNA is filed under the name Streptomyces longisporoflavus. RNAcentral's name for it is "tRNA-Ala". Lineage: Bacteria; Bacillati; Actinomycetota; Actinomycetes; Kitasatosporales; Streptomycetaceae. The record is from RNAcentral.